ACACAGUGAUGAAUGAAUUUCUUCACCUGAAUAACUCAUGUGGAUUAUUUUUGAGCUUUUUAACUCUGAGUGUU
Small nucleolar RNA from Ostrea edulis (European flat oyster), 74 nucleotides. The record is from RefSeq and is a predicted model, not a curated record. Lineage: Eukaryota; Metazoa; Mollusca; Bivalvia; Ostreida; Ostreidae.